This 72-nucleotide transfer RNA is filed under the name Actinomycetota bacterium. Its description in RNAcentral is "tRNA-Gln". It matches the Rfam family "tRNA". From Rfam's summary of the family: Transfer RNA (tRNA) molecules are approximately 80 nucleotides in length. Their secondary structure includes four short double-helical elements and three loops (D, anti-codon, and T loops). Lineage: Bacteria; Bacillati; Actinomycetota. The record is from RNAcentral.
UGCGAGGUGGUGGAACUGGUACCACGCCCGGCCCUGAACCAGGAGGUCCGCGUUCGAACCGUGGCCUCGCAG